AUUUACUAGAGAAGUAGACAGAUCGGAGUCAAACACAACAGGGUUAGACUACAGGUAGUGACCAAAAAUAAAGCCUGGUAUUAAAAUUUGCGUGGAACUCUAAGAGUGGCACAUCCAUCUCUACACACCCCUUUGUCAGAGGUAGACCCAGUGUUUCACGACAGUAACUCACACACAAUUCAACUUUCAAUUAUAUACACACAAAUAAAUGUACAUCGGGAUAAAUUGACCAAGAAAAAACAACACAUAGCAAACCCUCUG
Long non-coding RNA from Haliotis rubra (blacklip abalone), 261 nucleotides. RefSeq lists it as uncharacterized. NCBI's taxonomy places the organism in Eukaryota, Metazoa, Mollusca, Gastropoda, Lepetellida, Haliotidae. The transcript has 3 exons. The record is from RefSeq and is a predicted model, not a curated record.